GACGAACGCUGGCGGCGUGCUUAACACAUGCAAGUCGAACGGAAAGGCCCCUUUGGGGGUACUCGAGUGGCGAACGGGUGCGUAACACGUGAGUAACCUGCCCUUGACUUCGGGAUAACUUCAGGAAACUGGGGCUAAUACCGGAUAGGAAUCCUUGCUGCAUGGUGGGGGUUGGAAAGCUUCGGCGGUUUUGGAUGGACUCGCGGCUUAUCAGCUUGUUGGUGGGGUAGUGGCUUACCAAGGCUUUGACGGGUAGCCGGCCUGAGUGGGCGACCGGCCACAUUGGGACUGAGAUACGGCCCAGACUCCGACGGGAGGCAGCAGUGGGGAAUAUUGCACAAUGGGCGGAGGCCUGAUGCAGCAACGCCGCGUGCGGGAUGACGGUCUUCGGGUUGUAAACCGCAUUCAGCAGGGGCGAAGCUUGUGGUGACGGUACCUGCAGAAGAAGCACCGGCUAACUACGUG
This 465-nucleotide ribosomal RNA is filed under the name uncultured bacterium. RNAcentral describes it as "partial 16S ribosomal RNA". It matches the Rfam family "Bacterial small subunit ribosomal RNA", at positions 28 to 507 of the family's 1533-position model. The record is from RNAcentral.